Long non-coding RNA from Orcinus orca (killer whale), 487 nucleotides. RefSeq lists it as uncharacterized. The transcript has 2 exons. The record is from RefSeq and is a predicted model, not a curated record. NCBI's taxonomy places the organism in Eukaryota, Metazoa, Chordata, Mammalia, Artiodactyla, Delphinidae.
CUUCAGUCUGUAUUCUAGUUGAUCCGAAUGUCUGUCGCGCAUGCCUAAGGGCAACCAGAGCGUGGAAAGCCUGUCAUCGUGGAACGCGGUAGCUCGCGCCAAGCGGGGACCAGACCUGAACGUACCACGGCGAAAGUCGACGUACUCUCCGCCCCUCCCUUCUUGUACAAUAGUAUUCCUUGAACCUGUGGACUACAUUUCCCAAGAUACAACGCGCGCGGCGGCACCUAUUUAUUUUUCGCACGCCGCGAAGUGCAAUCACCUCUGGGGUAGCGAAUUUGAGAGGAAGGAGAGUACGUUAAUUAAGUGCGCGAGCGCGCAGAAGCUGCUCGGCUGCAAUUUCAAAUCCCACUUCCGCUAACUGAUAGCGCCUUCUGACUGUUACCGUCUCAGACCUGCGGUUUCUUCUUCUGUAAAAUGGGGAUGACAAGUAGUUCAGACUCCAGAGAGAGUCAUUGGCAGGAUUAAAUAGGUGUAGUUCCGCACA